GCGUGAUAAAUCGCCCUUUAAUUGUGGGCCCGUACGAAAGGACAAACGAAAGCUUAGCUGUCUCCUCUAAACACAUAAAAACUGUCCCUAAGGUGAAGAGACCUUAAUAUAAUCACAGGACAAAAAGACCCCGUAGAGCUUAAUUCUAAACCCACAUAACUCAAAUUUUUAAAUAUUAUUUUAUGCACAACACAGAAUUUUACUGGGGCGGUAAAGGAAAAAACCUCCAUCUACAUCCAUAAACAGGCACACAAGCCAACUUAAAAUGAUCCAUCACAUGAUCAAAGAACAUAGCUACCUCGGGGAUAACAGAUUUAUCCUCCUCAAGAGUUCACAUUGACAGGAGGGU
This 349-nucleotide ribosomal RNA is filed under the name Trichobranchus tribranchiatus. RNAcentral's name for it is "partial 16S ribosomal RNA". It matches the Rfam family "Bacterial large subunit ribosomal RNA", at positions 1959 to 2517 of the family's 2925-position model. Lineage: Eukaryota; Metazoa; Annelida; Polychaeta; Terebellida; Trichobranchidae. The record is from RNAcentral.